Molecule: unclassified non-coding RNA, 205 nt
Filed under: Hevea brasiliensis (rubber tree)
Lineage: Eukaryota; Viridiplantae; Streptophyta; Magnoliopsida; Malpighiales; Euphorbiaceae
Source: RNAcentral
CCGUCCUAUUUUAUAGCUCAACUGAAGCGUCUCAGUAACCUCUGCAAAAAUCUCUUUGUCGGUCUGUAAAUCGUAACUCAGCAAUGACCGAUCUCGACCGGGUCAGAAAGGACGAUCCUUUCCUCUUGCAGUAUCAGCCAUCCGAUCUCCGAAUUGCGUCGGAAUUCCUCACCACCUGGCUCCCUUUUCUCUCCAGAGAUCUCUG